GACGAACGCUGGCGGCGUGCUUAACACAUGCAAGUCGAACGGAAAGGCCCUGCUUUUGUGGGGGGCUCGAGUGGCGAAAGGGUGAGUAACACGUGAGUAACCUGCCCUUGACUUUGGGAUAACUUCAGGAAACUGGGGCUAAUACCGGAUAGGAGCUCCUGCUGCAUGGGGGGGGUUGGAAAGUUUCGGCGGUUGGGGAUGGACUCGCGGCUUAUCAGCUUGUUGGUGGGGUAGUGGCUUACCAAGGCUUUGACGGGUAGCCGGCCUGAGAGGGUGACCGGCCACAUUGGGACUGAGAUACGGCCCAGACUCCUACGGGAGGCAGCAGUGGGGAAUAUUGCACAAUGGGCGGAAGCCUGAUGCAGCAACGCCGCGUGCGGGAUGACGGCCUUCGGGUUGUAAACCGCUUUCGCCUGUGACGAAGCGUGAGUGACGGUAAUGGGUAAAGAAGCACCGGCUAACUACGUG
This 468-nucleotide ribosomal RNA is filed under the name uncultured bacterium. RNAcentral describes it as "partial 16S ribosomal RNA". It matches the Rfam family "Bacterial small subunit ribosomal RNA", at positions 28 to 507 of the family's 1533-position model. The record is from RNAcentral.